RNAcentral lists this ribosomal RNA (530 nucleotides) under uncultured bacterium. RNAcentral's name for it is "bacterial SSU rRNA". It matches the Rfam family "Bacterial small subunit ribosomal RNA", at positions 94 to 623 of the family's 1533-position model. The record is from RNAcentral.
ACCGGCGCACGGGUGCGUAACACGUAUACAAUCUGCCUUUAACAGGGGGAUAGCCCGGAGAAAUCCGGAUUAAUACCCCAUAAUACUCUGAGUAGCACUACUUGAAGUUGAAAGCUCCGGCGGUUAAAGAUGAGUAUGCGUCUGAUUAGCUAGUUGGUGAGGUAACGGCUCACCAAGGCGACGAUCAGUAGGGGAUCUGAGAGGAUUAACCCCCACACGGAUACUGAGACACGGAUCCGACUCCUACGGGAGGCAGCAGUAAGGAAUAUUGGACAAUGCCCGCAAGGGUGAUCCAGCCAUGCCGCGUGCAGGAAGACGGCCCUAUGGGUUGUAAACUGCUUUUACACCGGAGAAAACCCCACUACGUGUAGUGGGCUGAUAGUAUGGUGAGAAUAAGCAUCGGCUAACUUCGUGCCAGCAGCCGCGGUAAGACGAAGGAUGCAAGCGUUAUCCGGAUUCAUUGGGUUUAAAGGGAGCGUAGGCGGCCUGAUAAGUCAGCGGUGAAAUCUCCUCGCUUAACGAGGAAAUUG